CACGGAGUUAGCCGGUGCUUAUUCUUUCGGUACCUUCAGCUCUCUACACGUAAAGAGGUUUAUCCCCGAAUAAAAGCAGUUUACAAUCCAUAGGACCGUCUUCCUGCACGCGGCAUGGCUGGUUCAGGCUUGCGCCCAUUGACCAAUAUUCCUCACUGCUGCCUCCCGUAGGAGUCUGGUCCGUGUCUCAGUACCAGUGUGGGGGAUCACCCUCUCAGGCCCCCUACCCAUCGUAGCCCUUGGUGUGCCGUUACCACACCAACUAGCUAAUGGGACGCAUGCCCAUCCUAUACCGUAACCUUUAAUAAUCUGAUGAUGCCACCAAUUACACCAUGGGGUGUUAGUCCGAAUUUCUCCGGGAUAUCCCCCAGUAUAGGGUAGGUUGCAUACGCGUUACGCACCCGUGCGCCGGUCGCCACCAAAAUAGCAAGCUAUUUCUAUGCUGCCCCUCGACUUGCAUGUGUUAGGCCUGCCGCUAGCGUUCAUCCUGACGCCAGGACUCGAAACUUCC
This 511-nucleotide ribosomal RNA is filed under the name uncultured Fluviicola sp. RNAcentral's name for it is "partial 16S ribosomal RNA". The record is from RNAcentral. Lineage: Bacteria; Pseudomonadati; Bacteroidota; Flavobacteriia; Flavobacteriales; Crocinitomicaceae.